This is a non-coding RNA of Paramuricea clavata, 764 nucleotides long. The record is from the annotation of a GenBank genome assembly. NCBI's taxonomy places the organism in Eukaryota, Metazoa, Cnidaria, Anthozoa, Malacalcyonacea, Plexauridae.
UAACACUUUAUUACUAUAUAUUUCUUCCAAUUAUUAACGGACAAAUUACAGUAUUUAAUUUCAUACAAUUACAGUAUCGAUACAAACAUGCGAUACGUACAGUAUUUGUUCAUUUACUCGCGAGGAUACAAAUUUGUCAUUCAGUUUUUGUCAGCAACAGCUAGGCACACAAUAACUAGUGAUUUCAAAUGUUUCACAACACUGCAAAUUCUCUUGAGAACGUUUCUUUCUUAACUUUCCAAUUCACUCGAGACCACGUAAAAAUACAUGUAUCUUCAAUUCCAAUAGCUCAAACAUCACAAAUUAGUCUGCAUAAAUAGCACGUUUACCGGUUUUUAGAUGAUGAAAAUAAUGUGCGAACGACGCGUGAUCGGCGUUAUGAAAUUCUGGAGCAAACCGAUGGUCUUUUUGACAACAUAUAAUCCACGUUAGUAUAAUGAAAUUAAACCAUUAUCCUUCUGCAUAACAAUGAGCGCCAGUAUCCAGUUUAUUGCAAUGUUCACAGAUUCUCUAUAUUAAUACUAUACCCAAAUUCUUGCAGACGAAAUUGAUCACUAACAUGAACGUCUACAAUAAAGGUAAAUGCAUGUAAUUGAAUCUUGUCCGUAAACCGUAAAUGAAUACAACUAUAUGUCGAUUAAUCUUUUCAACGAAGAAACGAACACGAAUAUAAUUCUCGAGUAGAUGUAGCACUGAAAAUAAUGAUAGCAAACCUUGUUAUUCAACGAAACAGUUAUCUCCAUGAUUCCAUACAUGUUGUUUUA